GAUGAACGCUGGCGGCGUGCCUAAUACAUGCAAGUCGAGCGAACAGACGAGGAGCUUGCUCCUCUGACGUUAGCGGCGGACGGGUGAGUAACACGUGGAUAACCUACCUAUAAGACUGGGAUAACUUCUGGAAACCGGAGCUAAUACCGGAUAAUAUAUUGAACCGCAUGGUUCAAUAGUGAAAGACGGUUUUGCUGUCACUUAUAGAUGGAUCCGCGCCGCAUUAGCUAGUUGGUAAGGUAACGGCUUACCAAGGCAACGAUGCGUAGCCGACCUGAGAGGGUGAUCGGCCACACUGGAACUGAGACACGGUCCAGACUCCUACGGGAGGCAGCAGUAGGGAAUCUUCCGCAAUGGGCGAAAGCAUGACGGAGCAACGCCGCGUGAGUGAUGAAGGUCUUCGGAUCGUAAAACUCUGUUAUUAGGGAAGAACAAAUGUGUAAGUAACUAUGCACGUAUUGACGGUACCUAAUCAGAAAGCCACGGCUAACUACGCG
This 497-nucleotide ribosomal RNA is filed under the name uncultured bacterium. RNAcentral's name for it is "partial 16S ribosomal RNA". It matches the Rfam family "Bacterial small subunit ribosomal RNA", at positions 28 to 507 of the family's 1533-position model. The record is from RNAcentral.